CCUACGGGAGGCAGCAGUAGGGAAUUUUGCGCAAUGGGCGAAAGCCUGACGCAGCAACGCCGCGUGAUCGAGACGCCCUUCGGGGUGUAAAGAUCUGUUAGUGGGGACGAAACUUGACGGUACCCACAGCGGAAGCACCGGCUACCUACGUGCCAGCAGCCGCGGUCAUACGGGGGGUGCAAGCGUUGUCCGGAAUCAUUGGGCGUUAAGCGUUCGUAGGCGGCACGGAAAGUCUGGUGUUAAAGGCAGAGGCUCAACUUCUGUACGGCAGUGGAUUCUUGCGAGCUAGAAUGCGGUAGAGGUAAAGGGAAUUCCUGGUGUAGCGGUGAAAUGCUUAGAUAUCAGGAGGAACAUCGGUGGCGAAGGCGCUUUACUGGACCGUAAUUGACGCUGAGGAACGAAAGCGAGGGGAGCAAAUAGGAUUAGAUACCCGGGUAGUC
Molecule: ribosomal RNA, 440 nt
Filed under: uncultured bacterium
Lineage: Bacteria
Description: partial 16S ribosomal RNA
Rfam family: Bacterial small subunit ribosomal RNA
Source: RNAcentral